AUGUGUCCUGUUUGAACAGGGUAGCUUCUCUAAUGUAGCCAAAGGCAGAUACUAUCUUUGUAUUUUAAACCUGCAUGCACCUCGUUUUCCAAUUUAGGAGGUUUACCUGCAUGGCCUCAUCUGUCCUCUCUACCUCCAGGGACUCUGCCAGAGAUCCCACAGAGAAAUCUCCUCAGGUGGGCUGGCGACAACAGUGGAUGCAGACUGCAGUCAAUACACUCAUAG
This is a long non-coding RNA of Notothenia coriiceps (black rockcod), 225 nucleotides long. RefSeq lists it as uncharacterized. The record is from RefSeq and is a predicted model, not a curated record. Lineage: Eukaryota; Metazoa; Chordata; Actinopteri; Perciformes; Nototheniidae. The transcript has 2 exons.